This 253-nucleotide ribosomal RNA is filed under the name uncultured bacterium. RNAcentral describes it as "partial 16S ribosomal RNA". It matches the Rfam family "Bacterial small subunit ribosomal RNA", at positions 524 to 776 of the family's 1533-position model. The record is from RNAcentral.
GACGAGCCACACAAACGUUAUUCGGAAUUACUGGGCUUAAAGGGCGCGUAGGUGGCCUGUUAAGUCAGGGGUGAAAGACGGUAGCUUAACUAUCGCAGUGCCUUUGAUACUGACGGGCUUGAAUACACUAGAGGUAGGCGGAAUGUGACAAGUAGCGGUGAAAUGCGUAGAUAUGUCACAGAACACCAAUUGCGAAGGCAGCUUACUAUGGUGUCAUUGACACUGAGGCGCGAAAGCGUGGGGAUCAAACAGG